UUUGUGGUUUGACCUGCCCAAUGUUAAUAAAGAAAGUAUGAAUGGCCGCGGUAAUUUGACCGUGCUAAGGUAGCGUAAUCAGUUGGCUUUUAAAUGGAGUCGGGUAUGAAUGGAAUAACCGGGUUUAGCUGUCUCUUUGUUACUACAUCGAAUUUACUGUUCAAGUGAAAAAGCUUGACUUUAGAAAAGGGACGAGAAGACCCUUAGAAUUUUUUCAAUAGUGGGGGUAAUGCCUAUAAUGAUUUUGUUGGGGCGACAGAGAAAAAUAUAUUAUCUUUCUUUAUACUACGUGCCGAUUAUGUUAAGUGAGGAUAAAUUACCUGAGGGAUAACAGCAUAAUUCUACAAUUGAGUUUGUGACCUCGAUGUUGGACUAGGAAACUAGCAAGCUAGCCGUUUGUUGUGUGGGUUCUGUUCGAACUUUAAUUCCU
Molecule: ribosomal RNA, 430 nt
Filed under: Leminda millecra
Lineage: Eukaryota; Metazoa; Mollusca; Gastropoda; Nudibranchia; Charcotiidae
Description: partial 16S ribosomal RNA
Rfam family: Bacterial large subunit ribosomal RNA
Source: RNAcentral